Glossina brevipalpis is the source of this 98-nucleotide non-coding RNA. The record is from Rfam. NCBI's taxonomy places the organism in Eukaryota, Metazoa, Arthropoda, Insecta, Diptera, Glossinidae.
AUGUAUGUAGGGUGUAGAUUUAGUACGUAGGUACCAUGGAUGGUGAAUCGUGCAUGCUACUGGCACGGGUCGGUAGUAUCUUUGGAAGACUCCCACCU